AGUGAACGCUGGCGGUAGGCCUAACACAUGCAAGUCGAACGGCAGCACAGGAGAGCUUGCUCUCUGGGUGGCGAGUGGCGGACGGGUGAGGAAUACAUCGGAAUCUACUCUGUCGUGGGGGAUAACGUAGGGAAACUUACGCUAAUGCCGCAUACGACCUACGGGUGAAAGCAGGGGAUCUUCGGACCUUGCGCGAUUGAAUGAGCCGAUGUCGGAUUAGCUAGUUGGCGGGGUAAAGGCCCACCAAGGCGACGAUCCGUAGCUGGUCUGAGAGGAUGAUCAGCCACACUGGAACUGAGACACGGUCCAGACUCCUACGGGAGGCAGCAGUGGGGAAUAUUGGACAAUGGGCGCAAGCCUGAUCCAGCCAUACCGCGUGGGUGAAGAAGGCCUUCGGGUUGUAAAGCCCUUUUGUUGGGAAAGAAAUCCAGCUGGCUAAUACCCGGUUGGGAUGACGGUACCCAAAGAAUAAGCACCGGCUAACUUUGUGCCAGCCGCCGCCGUAA
RNAcentral lists this ribosomal RNA (506 nucleotides) under uncultured bacterium. RNAcentral describes it as "partial 16S ribosomal RNA". It matches the Rfam family "Bacterial small subunit ribosomal RNA", at positions 29 to 523 of the family's 1533-position model. The record is from RNAcentral.